GGUCCCUCUUCGGUGCCUUAUUGGAUUCAUUAUUCAUUAUGUGAACUGUUAUGAAGCAUGUACUAUUAUGGAAUAUAUACAAUUUUAAAUAUAUAGUUAAUGCUCUAACUGACAAAACCUUAGGGCUUACUUUAAGAAUAGAGCAAGAGAAUAAUAAGUUCUUUCAUUUCUUAGAUGUGAGUGUUGAAGUUGAGAAUGGAGAAUAUGUUAUGUAUAUAUACAGGAAGCCUUCGUAUGCACCAGUAAUUAUCCUGGCAUGCUUCACAGAAUUAUAUGGUAUAUAAAUUAGCUGCAUUUAGAGCUAUGAUAAAUAGAGCUUUUACCCUUAUAACCAAAUGGAGGGAUAGGGAAGAUGAAUUAACAUAUAUCUUUGAACAAGGUUAUAAAUAUGGAUAUAGAAGGAAAGCAAUAGAAGACCUUAUAAAGAAGAUUAGCAAACACAUUGAAAACAAUAUGAAUACAAAAUCUCAACGCUAGUAAUUUAGAUAAGACGUCGUUUGCCCAGAUCACUUACUAUUGAUGUACGGAUAAAAUUCUUACAAGUGUGACAAAACUCACUAAUAGAAAAAUUAUAAGAAAGA
Molecule: long non-coding RNA, 581 nt
Filed under: Androctonus crassicauda
Lineage: Eukaryota; Metazoa; Arthropoda; Arachnida; Scorpiones; Buthidae
Source: RNAcentral